GAUGAAGAACGCAGCGAAAUGCGAUAAGUAAUGUGAAUUGCAGAAUUCAGUGAAUCAUCGAAUCUUUGAACGCACCUUGCACUCCUUGGUAUUCCGAGGAGUACGCCUGUUCGAGUGUUAUGAAGCUCUCAAAACGCAAUUGGCUUAAAACCUGAUUGUUGUUUUGGAUUUGAACUUUGCCGUGUUAUAACGGCUGGUUUUAAAAGUAUUAGCUGGUACUAGAACGAAUUGGUUCUACUCAACGUGAUAAUUAUCUGAUCGUUGAGGACAUUCCUUUCACGAGGAAUGGCCAUAGUAAAUUCAAUGGACUGCUUCUAAUCUGGCUUUAAUUCUUUAUUGGAUUAUCCACUUUUCAAAUCUGACCUCGAAUCAGGUGGGACUACCCGCUGAACUUAAGCAUAUCAAUAAGCGGAGGA
This 416-nucleotide unclassified non-coding RNA is filed under the name soil metagenome. Its description in RNAcentral is "partial contains 5.8S ribosomal RNA, internal transcribed spacer 2, and large subunit ribosomal RNA". The stretch from base 1 to 120 matches the Rfam family "5.8S ribosomal RNA", at positions 35 to 154 of the family's 154-position model. The record is from RNAcentral.